This 84-nucleotide transfer RNA is filed under the name Streptomyces sp. ADI98-10. Its description in RNAcentral is "tRNA-Gly". Lineage: Bacteria; Bacillati; Actinomycetota; Actinomycetes; Kitasatosporales; Streptomycetaceae. The record is from RNAcentral.
GUGACGAUGCCGUGCCGGUCGGCGUCGGCGUCGUUCCCGGUGGCGAUGGCGUACGCGUCGCGCUGUUCGAUCAGCGUGGCCAUG